This is a long non-coding RNA of Dicentrarchus labrax (European seabass), 407 nucleotides long. RefSeq lists it as uncharacterized. The transcript has 2 exons. Lineage: Eukaryota; Metazoa; Chordata; Actinopteri; Moronidae. The record is from RefSeq and is a predicted model, not a curated record.
AUCAACAGUCAUGGGAAGUUCCACUCACAUGAACCCAAGAGGCAAGUCUCCUUUGUCAUUUAAUAGUGGGGCGAGGCAUGGCCUCUUCGACAACUGCCUCAUGAAGAGCUGGUGUAAGCUGCUGAGCUAGACUGCAACAAGAGCUCCUUAUCAUGCUUCAGUGGGAGGCAGGCAGGAGAGUUCAGCACGACACCUCAGAUUUCCUUCAGAGUAUCACGACUGACCAGCACCAUGAGUGGCUUCGCUCAUUUAAACCACCUUAUUCUUAUGCCUCUGCAUUAGUGACUCAGCCAAAGAAAACAAAAAGCCUGCCAGAGGCAUUGCACCCUUCUUCUACAUACAGUACGAUUACAUACCAUGCAAUGCCACAGGUGCUCUUUGGAAGCAAUAAACAACGUUAUGAAAUA